Long non-coding RNA from Oxyura jamaicensis (ruddy duck), 362 nucleotides. RefSeq lists it as uncharacterized. The record is from RefSeq and is a predicted model, not a curated record. NCBI's taxonomy places the organism in Eukaryota, Metazoa, Chordata, Aves, Anseriformes, Anatidae. The transcript has 3 exons.
GACAGGCUGAGAGAGUAGGGCCUGUAUAGCCUGGAAAAUAGAAGACCUAGGGAAGACCUCAUCAGUCUGUAUAAAUAUCUGAGGGGAGGGUUUUGAGAGGAUGGAGCCAGUCUCUUUUCAGUUAUGCCCAGCGACAGGACAAAAGGCAUCAGGCACAAACUGAAGCACAGGAGGUUCCGGCUGAAUAUGAGAGGGCAAUUCUUUAGUGGGAGGGUGACAGAGCACUGGGACAGGUUGCCCGGAGAGGCUGUGGAGUCUCCUUCUCUGGAGAUACUCAAAACCCACCUGGAUGCUAUCCUGCGCAAUGUGCUCUAAGUGAUCCUGCUUGACCAAAGGGUUGGAAUAGAUCUCCAGAGAGAGCA